Molecule: ribosomal RNA, 490 nt
Filed under: uncultured bacterium
Lineage: Bacteria
Description: partial 16S ribosomal RNA
Rfam family: Bacterial small subunit ribosomal RNA
Source: RNAcentral
GAUGAACGCUCGCGGCAGGCCUAAUACAUGCAAGUCGAACGGGAUCCAGAUCAAAGCUUGCUUUGGUUUGGUGAGAGUGGCGCACGGGUGCGUAACGCGUGAGCAACCUACCCUUGUCAGGGGGAUAGCCCGGCGAAAGUCGGAUUAAUACCGCAUGACAUCAUUGAGAGGCAUCUUUCGAUGAUCAAAGAUUUAUCGGACAAGGAUGGGCUCGCGUGACAUUAGCUAGUUGGUAAGGUAACGGCUUACCAAGGCUACGAUGUCUAGGGGCUCUGAGAGGAGAAUCCCCCACACUGGUACUGAGACACGGACCAGACUCCUACGGGAGGCAGCAGUAAGGAAUAUUGGUCAAUGGACGGAAGUCUGAACCAGCCAUGCCGCGUGCAGGAAGACGGCCCUAUGGGUUGUAAACUGCUUUUAUACGGGAACAAACGUCGGUACGUGUACCGGUCUGAGUGUACCGUAAGAAUAAGGAUCGGCUAACUCCGUG